ACCAGACUCCUACGGGAGGCAGCAGUGGGGAAUAUUGCACAAUGGGGGAAACCCUGAUGCAGCGACGCCGCGUGAGCGAUGAAGUAUUUCGGUAUGUAAAGCUCUAUCAGCAGGGAAGAAAAUGACGGUACCUGACUAAGAAGCCCCGGCUAACUACGUGCCAGCAGCCGCGGUAAUACGUAGGGGGCAAGCGUUAUCCGGAUUUACUGGGUGUAAAGGGAGCGUAGACGGUUCUGCAAGCCAGAUGUGAAAGCCCGGGGCCCAACCCCGGGACUGCCCUUGGAACUGCAUGGCUGGAGUGCGGGAGGGGCAGGCGGAAUUCCUGGUGUAGCGGUGAAAUGCGUAGAUAUUAGGAGGAACACCAGUGGCGAAGGCGGCUUACUGGACGAUGACUGACGCUGAGGCUCGAAAGCGUGGGGAGCAAACAGGAUUAGAUACCCUAGUAU
This 446-nucleotide ribosomal RNA is filed under the name uncultured bacterium. RNAcentral's name for it is "bacterial SSU rRNA". It matches the Rfam family "Bacterial small subunit ribosomal RNA", at positions 330 to 793 of the family's 1533-position model. The record is from RNAcentral.